CCCGCUGAACUUAAGCAUAUCAAUAAGCGGAGGAAAAGAAACCAACAGGGAUUACCCUAGUAACGGCGAGUGAAGCGGUAAUAGCUCAAAUUUUAAAUCUGGCCUUCACGGGUCCGAGCUGUAAUUUGUAGAGGAUGUUUCGGGCAAGGCUAUGGUUUAAGUUUCUUGGAACAGAACGUCAUAGAGGGUGAGAAUCCCGUCUAGAACCGAUGGCCGCGUCCAUGUGAACUUCCUUCGACGAGUCGAGUUGUUUGGGAAUGCAGCUCAAAAUGGGUGGUAAAUUUCAUCUAAAGCUAAAUAUUGGCCAGAGACCGAUAGCGCACAAGUAGAGUGAUCGAAAGAUGAAAAGCACUUUGAAAAGAGAGUUAAACAGUAUGUGAAAUUGUUGAAAGGGAAGCGCUUGCAACCAGACUUGUGUAUCGUGGUUCCCUCGGUCUUCUGAUCGGGUAACUCCAUGAUAUCCAGGCCAGCAUCGGUUCGGGUGGUUGGUUAAAGGUCCUGGGAAUGUAUCUACCUUCGGGUCGACUUAUAGCCCAGGGCGUAAUGCAGCCUACCUGGACCGAGGAACGCGCUUUUGCUCGGAUGCUGGCGUAAUGGUUGUAAGCGGCCCGUCUUGAAACACGG
RNAcentral lists this ribosomal RNA (624 nucleotides) under uncultured fungus. RNAcentral describes it as "eukaryotic LSU rRNA". It matches the Rfam family "Eukaryotic large subunit ribosomal RNA", at positions 24 to 664 of the family's 3401-position model. Lineage: Eukaryota; Fungi. The record is from RNAcentral.